This is a long non-coding RNA of Felis catus (domestic cat), 1457 nucleotides long. RefSeq lists it as uncharacterized. The transcript has 2 exons. Lineage: Eukaryota; Metazoa; Chordata; Mammalia; Carnivora; Felidae. The record is from RefSeq and is a predicted model, not a curated record.
CCUGCAGGGCAGAAGAGAAGACAGGUGAGAACCUCCCCUGGCUUUACGGUAUAAAGUGAUUAACUGUACAGAUAGGUUGUAAUUGUUACUAAUUUCCCUGCUUUGGGCGAUGGCAUCUGUUUUGCAAUAUCACGUGUCAGGGACUAUUUUAUGCAACCAAUCCGACCUGAUCAAGAAAUCUCAUCCCUUUCUUAGAAAUAUUUUUAGCCUCUUUUAUACGUACUGGAAUGUGAACUCAGUAAUUUCUAGAAAAGCAAAUCAAACUUGUUAUUUUUUCUUCCCACAAAGCUCUUAUAGCACUGAGCAUUUUCCUAUAGGUCUAAGGCAGACAUUGGCAAACUAAGGCCCACAAGUGAAAUGCGGACUUGGUUCUAUAAAUAAAGUUUUAUUGGAACAUAUCCUGUGACCAUUCCUUUUAUGGACUUUGCCUGUGGCUGCUUUGGUGCUGGAACAGCAGAGAAACUUCACCCAAGGAACAUGGAACUUUGGUAGUCUCCACCCACAGGUACUAAGUUACCACCCUGGAAAUGGUGAGGGACCAUGGCUGAGACUUCUGCAAGGAUUCAGAGACUCUCUGGCAUGGAGGCUCUAUGGUCAAGCUCUAGGCAAGGGAGCCUAAUUAGCUGCUUGUUCCUAUAAAAGACCCGAGUGUUCAUAUUUAAAUUGUGGCUCUGAUUAAAUAUUAAUUAUGUAUAUCAUUUUAUUAUUGGGCUUAAGCCACAUAAGUGUUUUUUAAUAUGAUCAAGACAGAAAGCAUAGAGUUUGCCUUUACACAGGGAUGGAGUUGGUUUUAGGACAUAAAAAAUACCUUAAUUUGGCUAUUUCAGAUCCUUGUGGGAAGUAGGCAGUUUCAAAAUAAUUAAAUAAUACAGUCUUUAUUUUAAUAUCAGAUCCCUCUUCACCAGUCACAAACAUUCACUCCAACACUGCUCCUUAGUGCUUCUAGCUGUUCCUCCUUUCUAAUAGCUCAGCUAAGGUUCUAGAAGUGCGUCAGCCCAGCUUAAAAUCCUGUGGCAGCUACUGGCCAAUUUGUGAAUAAGGACAGCAGGGAGGCUUUUCUUAACAUAGAAGGGUGCCAUGCUUAUGAGUUUGUCCAAAGCCUCAGCUUGAAUAUUUAUAAGCCCACAGGGCAGUCCAUGUGGGAGGGUAAAAAAAGUGGGCCCUGGUAUUUCUGCAAGCCCCGAUGGGUGCCAUCUGUGCUGAAACCACAGGCUGCCACCCAGGGCAGCCAGCCUAGGCAAACACAAGAGGGCCUUAACCAGAUUCUCAGAGGGGGGAAAUGGCUACUAUGUACGUUGCCAUGGCUUUUGGGAUCUCUCCUCCCAACACUCAUCAGAGUGGUUACUCGCACAGUUAAUGCCAUGAAAAUGCAAGACCUACAUCUCAUUGAGAGAAAGGAAACAGUGGGCCUUUGGGUAAGCAAAAAAAAAAAAAAAGUCCCAUUUUUCUUCUCUCUG